AAAUCUCAUAUACAAGUUAUAGUGUCUGUUUGAAACCAUAGCUCCUGUGUAUGCUGCAUGGAGUGGAUGUAAGGAAAGCAUAAGAUUAUACCAUAUAUAUCUUGUGACUUUCUUAUUAUCCUACCCUUGAUUCCUUUCCAACCUAUCUCUUUGUCUUCAUGAAUAGCAUGCCUAAUUAUAUAAAAUCAUGCGAGUAUCUACUACAUCGGGC
This 211-nucleotide long non-coding RNA is filed under the name Mytilus galloprovincialis (Mediterranean mussel). Lineage: Eukaryota; Metazoa; Mollusca; Bivalvia; Mytilida; Mytilidae. The record is from RNAcentral.